This 483-nucleotide ribosomal RNA is filed under the name uncultured bacterium. RNAcentral's name for it is "bacterial SSU rRNA". It matches the Rfam family "Bacterial small subunit ribosomal RNA", at positions 29 to 507 of the family's 1533-position model. The record is from RNAcentral.
AUUGAACGCUGGCGGAAUGCUUUACACAUGCAAGUCGAGCGGCAGCGCGGGGCAACCUGGCGGCGAGCGGCGAACGGGUGAGUAAUACAUCGGAACGUACCCAGUUGUGGGGGGAUAGCCCGGCGAAAGCCGGAUUAAUACCGCAUACGACCUGAGGGUGAAAGGGGGGGAUCGCAAGACCUCUCGCAGUUGGAGCGGCCGAUGGCGGAUUAGCUAGUUGGUAGGGUAAAGGCCUACCAAGGCGACGAUCCGUAGCUGGUCUGAGAGGACGACCAGCCACACUGGAACUGAGACACGGUCCAGACUCCUACGGGAGGCAGCAGUGGGGAAUUUUGGACAAUGGGGGCAACCCUGAUCCAGCCAUUCCGCGUGAGUGAAGAAGGCCUUCGGGUUGUAAAGCUCUUUCGGCAGGAACGAAACGGUGGUCCCUAAUACGGAUUGCUAAUGACGGUACCUGAAGAAGAAGCACCGGCUAACUACGUG